GGGAUUUGCAUUCAUUUAGAUAGAUUUGAUGACAUAAAAUUAAUUCCCAUUUUUGUUUCAUCAUUAUUAACUAAUAUAAAAUAAUAUAAUUAGGUGAUUUGUGAAGCAUACUUUCUAGCCUGCCAUAUAUCUUAUUGCCUUAACACUCCUUCAUAAUAUCUCUGCAGUUGGAAGUGGAACUACUGACUACUAUCGCAUCAAUGUUGAACAAUUUCUGGGCAACAGGAGAGGUGGAGUGGUGUGGCACCGAGAGUCUGGGCCUCAUGAGAUAUGUAGUGGGACAGGGGCCAUCUGGCUCACAGGCACAUCAUAGUACUGCAUGUUCUUACUAUUAAAUGCAAGAGUCCCUAAACUACUGCAUAUACACCCCAGGCAGGAUCUGGGUCAUACCAGACAUUUCUGUGACUCUAUGAUACUGUGCCUCUCUUCCUCUGUUGUCCUUUGUGGAGUUUACCCAAAGUUAGCAGUACCAGGUGUCUCAUAAAACAUCAGUAAGAUGACAAUCAUUAUUACAGACAUCAUUGAGGUCUCCCCACAAACCCGGAACUUCUCUUAAUGUAAAGAGAGUGAAAGAGCACCACCCCUCUCUGCUU
This 593-nucleotide long non-coding RNA is filed under the name Pan troglodytes (chimpanzee). Its description in RNAcentral is "long non-coding RNA NONPTRT004775". Lineage: Eukaryota; Metazoa; Chordata; Mammalia; Primates; Hominidae. The record is from RNAcentral.